UAUGCAGAGAAAACAAUAGAGCAUUGAACAGUUUGAUCUUUGUCUCGUCUGACCUCAUUACAUUCUCCCAGUAACCUACAGGCUUCUCCAAAUGUUCUGUAGCAAGCUUGAAACGAGCUUCAACAUGCCUUUUCUACAGUAAUGGAAUCAAGGCGUGAUGGUGAAUGGAGACUGUAGCAGUAUUGCGCACUGCAUAUUGCUUUCUCUGACGACUGUACUCGCUGCUUCCAGUUCUUUCUGGAGAGCUUUUCGAGUGGUCCUCGGCUCUUGGGCUUCUCCUCUGCGUAACUUUGUCAGCCCUGUCAGAAAUCUUGCGAGGAGCUCCUGCGUGUGGCCGGUUGAUAGUCACCUAAUGGUGCUUAAAGGAACAUUUGGGAGUAAUUCUUUGGAGAGCGCUUUGCUUCUACUCAUCAUGAGAUGUUUCUUGCGCGACAGUUUGGUGACAAAUGAUUUGUUUACUUGUAUUCAGAGGUGGGUUCCCCUUUUCCACAGAGUGGACGUACUAACCUACCAUCAUACACUAACCCAGCUGAUUCUAAUUAGCACAGGUAGGAGAACUGUUUUUUCUUGUUCAAUACUUAAUUCCUGUGUCAUUCCACUUUAUUGCACAUAACUUUUUUAUGGAUUGGUAUAUUAUGAUUUCUUUAGCGGUGUAGCUUCAUCGAGUUAACACCCAUGUCGGGUCUACAUUUCAUGUGAAAACAUUUAUAUGGACAGCGGUAAUCUAAUUAUUGACCUUAUUCUGAAUAAGACAAUACUGUGAUUAAGGUGUUUACAUGAGUCGCUUUUAGAAUAUCCCUGUUUUAUAUAUUAUAAAACACAGAUCGACUAAAACAGAAAUACUCCACACGUCUUAAUUUGUUUUGUGUUUACAUGAGUCGCUUUUAGAAUAUCCCUGUUUUAUAUGUUAUAAAACACAGAUCGACUAAACAGAAAUACUCCACACGUCUUAAUUUGUUUUGUGUUUACUUCCGAGUAUGACUUUAAUCGGAUUAAGGUAAUAAAUUUUUUUUAUUUACAUGCUAGUUUCCUGAUCAGAGUAUCGUCUUAAUCGGGUUAAUAUCGGAUUAUUGUUGUCCAGUAAACAUACUGAUUUACCCACACGAUAGUUUAAUAAUAUUUCAUUAGACACUGCCAUCUGGUGGCUGAUUUUAUACUUGAACUGGAGACACAGCAGAUAUUCCAGCUCUAAGGAUCAUCAUUAAUCUCACUAAUGUUUAAUCGUAUUAGGAUUGGUGCCGUUUAUUUGGAUUCCAUUAAGCAGAAAUACUCAGGGUGCUGUUGACUAUUAAUAUAAUCCUUGUCCAUCUGUAGGAAAUAGAAGAGCCCGAAUUAACAGGAAGAACAUAGGCAUAUUUCUGAGACUGUACUUACCGAGUCACAUCUUUCAAACUAUCCUUCUGAGUGUGUUUUAAUUAAUUUGACUCACUAUUACGACACACUUUACUGAUUCUUUCCAACUACCCGUCUAAGUGAGAUCUGAUUCACUUUGAAUCGAAACACAUCGCUACUCUGCACAACUACAGCUUCAGUUUGACUCCUCUUGAUAAAAACACUCGUCCAGCGCUAGAAGAACAAGAGACUGGUUUACGUGAUGAAUCAUUCCAUUUACACUUGAAUAAUGUCUCCAAGCUGCAGUUAGCGUUAGCCUGGCAGGUAUAUAUUAUUAGAAUAUAUUACUGAAACAGUGUUAACUUGAAUAACGAAGGCUGCGGUUCACUCUACAGGUAAGUAUUUAAAGACUACACCAUGUUGUUCUAUGCGUUUUGUUCACAGAGAGCUUUUUAGUGAAGCCGUGAGCUGCUGAAUGAUUUCUGAGUUUUUAAUUUAAUCUCUGAUCCAGAAUCCUAAAUUGUGGUGGUCUCCUUUACCUACCGUGUAGUGAUUAGAAGACUAUCAUGAUUCAGUGAUCCCGUGUGUGAAGCUGCUCCGUUUUGGACUCUGUAUAGCAAUAAAAAUACACAACCAUUUUAUCAUGAGAUCUGCUGGACAAUUUAAAAAUAAAUAAAUAAAUCAG
This is a long non-coding RNA of Ictalurus punctatus (channel catfish), 2017 nucleotides long. Lineage: Eukaryota; Metazoa; Chordata; Actinopteri; Siluriformes; Ictaluridae. The record is from Ensembl.